This is a long non-coding RNA of Asparagus officinalis (garden asparagus), 260 nucleotides long. RefSeq lists it as uncharacterized. Lineage: Eukaryota; Viridiplantae; Streptophyta; Magnoliopsida; Asparagales; Asparagaceae. The transcript has 3 exons. The record is from RefSeq and is a predicted model, not a curated record.
UUAUGCGAAUGCGGUGCGAUUCUUCUCGAGCAUUGAUGUCAGUCUCCGCUGAAACUCGCGGUGAUAAGCAUCAUGCUGGCACCAGGAGAAGAUAGCUCAGAGGUUGAGGCCGAGCGCAAGGAGCUUGAGGAGGCCAUUAAGAAUGCCCGAGAAAGGGAGAGAAGGACACUUCUUCUAGCAGUAAGAUUAUGUAUUGGAGGUUGGAGCGAAAUGCUAUAUAACCUUCCUCCAAAUCUGCAGAGCCCGUAAGUUAUAAUAAA